UGGGGAAUAUUGGACAAUGGGGGGAACCCUGAUCCAGCCAUGCCGCGUGUGUGAAGAAGGCCUUCGGGUUGUAAAGCACUUUAAUUUGGGAGGAAGGGCUUACGGUUAAUAACCGCUAAGUUUUGACGUUACCAAAAGAAUAAGCACCGGCUAACUUCGUGCCAGCAGCCGCGGUAAUACGAAGGGUGCGAGCGUUAAUCGGAAUUACUGGGCGUAAAGCGCGCGUAGGUGGUUCAUUAAGUUAGGAGUGAAAGCCCCGGGCUCAACCUGGGAAUUGCUUCUAAAACUGGUGAGCUAGAGUAUGGUAGAGGGUGGUGGAAUUUCCUGUGUAGCGGUGAAAUGCGUAGAUAUAGGAAGGAACAUCAGUGGCGAAGGCGACCACCUGGACUGAUACUGACACUGAGGUGCGAAAGCGUGGGGAGCAAACAGG
Molecule: ribosomal RNA, 430 nt
Filed under: uncultured prokaryote
Also listed under: 1 other name
Description: bacterial SSU rRNA
Rfam family: Bacterial small subunit ribosomal RNA
Source: RNAcentral